RNAcentral lists this ribosomal RNA (435 nucleotides) under uncultured Bacteroidales bacterium. Its description in RNAcentral is "bacterial SSU rRNA". It matches the Rfam family "Bacterial small subunit ribosomal RNA", at positions 60 to 484 of the family's 1533-position model. Lineage: Bacteria; Pseudomonadati; Bacteroidota; Bacteroidia; Bacteroidales. The record is from RNAcentral.
AGUCCGAGGGGCAGCGGGGUUGUAGCCAUACGACUGCCGGCGACCGGCGCACGGGUGAGUAACACGUAUCCCACCUUCCGGUUACUCGGGAAUAGCCUUUCCAAAGAAAGAUUAAUGCCCGAUGGUAUAACAAGUCUGCAUGGAGUUGUUAUUAAAGAUUUAUCGGUAACCGAUGGGGAUGCGUUCCAUUAGGCAGUUGGCGGGGUAACGGCCCACCAAACCGACGAUGGAUAGGGGUUCUGAGAGGAAGGUCCCCCACAUUGGAACUGAGACACGGUCCAAACUCCUACGGGAGGCAGCAGUGAGGAAUAUUGGUCAAUGGGCGAGAGCCUGAACCAGCCAAGUAGCGUGAAGGAUGACUGCCCUAUGGGUUGUAAACUUCUUUUAUGCCGGGAAUAACAAGCGGCACGUGUGCCGUUCUGCAUGUACCGUAUG